Molecule: ribosomal RNA, 488 nt
Filed under: uncultured bacterium
Lineage: Bacteria
Description: partial 16S ribosomal RNA
Rfam family: Bacterial small subunit ribosomal RNA
Source: RNAcentral
GACGAACGCUGGCGGCGUGCUUAACACAUGCAAGUCGAACGAAAAGGCCCUGCUCUUGUUGGGUGCUCGUGUGGCGCACGCGUGAGUAACACGCGAGUAACCUGCCCUUGACUUUGUGAUAACUUCAGGAAACUGGGGCGCAUACCGGAUAUGAUCUCCUGCUGCAUGGUGGUGGUUGGUAAGUUUCGGCGGUUGGGGAUGUUCUCGCGGCGUAUUAGCCUGUUGGUAAGGUAGUGGCUUACCAAGGCUACGACGGGUAGCCGGCGUGAGAGGGUGAUCGGCCACACUGGAACUGAGACACGGUCCAGACUCCUACGGGAGGCAGCAGUAGGGAAUCUUCCGCAAUGGGCGAAAGCCUGACGGAGCAACGCCGCGUGAGUGAUGAAGGUCUUCGGAUCGUAAAACUCUGUUAUUAGGGAAGAACAAAUGUGUAAGUAACUAUGCACGUCUUGACGGUACCUAAUCAGAAAGCCACGGCUAACUACGUG